Molecule: ribosomal RNA, 469 nt
Filed under: uncultured bacterium
Lineage: Bacteria
Description: partial 16S ribosomal RNA
Rfam family: Bacterial small subunit ribosomal RNA
Source: RNAcentral
GACGAACGCUGGCGGCGUGCUUAACACAUGCAAGUCGAACGGUGAAGCGAGUGCUUGCACUCGUGGAUCAGUGGCGAACGGGUGAGUAACACGUGAGUAACCUGCCCAUCACUCUGGGAUAAGCACUGGAAACGGUGUCUAAUACUGGAUACGACCAACCCUUGCAUGGGGUGUUGGUGGAAAGAUUUAUCGGUGAUGGAUGGACUCGCGGCCUAUCAGCUUGUUGGCGGGGUAAUGGCCCACCAAGGCGACGACGGGUAGCCGGCCUGAGAGGGUGACCGGCCACACUGGGACUGAGACACGGCCCAGACUCCUACGGGAGGCAGCAGUGGGGAAUAUUGCACAAUGGGCGAAAGCCUGAUGCAGCGGCGCCGCGUGAGGGAUGACGGCCUUCGGGUUGUAAACCUCUUUCAGCAGGGAAGAAGCGAAAGUGACGGUACCUGAAGAAGAAGCACCGGCUAACUACGUG